UACGUAGGGUGCAAGCGUUGUCCGGAAUUAUUGGGCGUAAAGAGCUCGUAGGCGGUCUGUCACGUCGGCUGUGAAAACCCGAGGCUCAACCUCGGGCCUGCAGUCGAUACGGGCAAACUAGAGUGUUGCAGGGGAGACUGGAAUUCCUGGUGUAGCGGUGAAAUGCGCAGAUAUCAGGAGGAACACCGGUGGCGAAGGCGAGUCUCUGGACAUUUCCUAACGCUGAGGCACGAAAGCCAGGGGAGCAAACGGG
RNAcentral lists this ribosomal RNA (253 nucleotides) under uncultured bacterium. RNAcentral's name for it is "partial 16S ribosomal RNA". It matches the Rfam family "Bacterial small subunit ribosomal RNA", at positions 524 to 776 of the family's 1533-position model. The record is from RNAcentral.